Non-coding RNA from Musa acuminata subsp. malaccensis (wild Malaysian banana), 769 nucleotides. NCBI's taxonomy places the organism in Eukaryota, Viridiplantae, Streptophyta, Magnoliopsida, Zingiberales, Musaceae. The record is from RefSeq and is a predicted model, not a curated record.
UGAACUGGUCAUGGCGGAUUCUCCACGGUCCCUGAUCGACGGGAGCACCUUGGCGGCUCUCUCCUUGGCCCGUGCCAGCGUGCAACACAUGUUCGGGGUGGUGGGCAUCCCCGUUACUGCCGUCGCCACCUGUGCAGUUGCUUCCGGCUUCACCUGGAAGACUGGUGGUCGCUGUUGAAUGGGAUUCUGGUUUUGGAUUCAGUGCCAUGGAAGUUGAGACACUAGUGAGAUAUCAGUUUCCAGUUGUCCUAAUCGUAUUCAACAAUGUGGUGGCGUAUAUGGGGGUGACAGAAGAUCCCCUGGUGAAAUUACUGGGCCAUACAAAGAUGACCCUGGCCCUACAUUUGUUCCACAUUCAGCAUACCAUUCCCUAAUUGAAGCUUUUGGUGGGAAAGGUUAUCGAGCUGGAACUCCUGAAGAACUCAACUCUGCACUUUCUGAAUCUUUUUCUGCUCGAAAACCAGCCGUUAUCAAUGUUAUAAUAGAUCCGUAUGCUGGUGCUGAAAGUGGGAGAUCGUAGCACAAAAAUUAAGCCACCUUCAACAUUCUUACACAAAAAAGCUCCAAAACAAGCGAGGAGUCAAUUUCAAGAAUUGGUCAACGCUGAUGGGUUGGUAUUCUAGAAACAAGUUGAGCAAGAGACGUACCGAUAUUGCCUCCUACAGAUCUACCCUGGAACAAGUCAUGACAACUACUGACAGAUCCCAGUGCUUAUAUUUAAUUGAUUUGUUUUGCUAGUCUAAUUCAGGGCAAGAUUCGAGACUCUAGA